Molecule: ribosomal RNA, 691 nt
Filed under: uncultured bacterium
Lineage: Bacteria
Description: bacterial SSU rRNA
Rfam family: Bacterial small subunit ribosomal RNA
Source: RNAcentral
ACCGGCGCACGGGUGCGUAACGCGUAUACAUCUACCUUGUACUGAGGGAUAGCCCAGAGAAAUUUGGAUUAAUACCUCAUAGUACGGCAUCGUUAAAGGUUACGGUACAAGAUGAGUAUGCGUCCUAUUAGUUUGUUGGUAAGGUAACGGCUUACCAAGACUACGAUAGGUAGGGGCCCUGAGAGGGGGAUCCCCCACACUGGUACUGAGACACGGACCAGACUCCUACGGGAGGCAGCAGUGAGGAAUAUUGGACAAUGGAGGAGACUCUGAUCCAGCCAUGCCGCGUGCAGGAAGACGGCCUAUGGGUUGUAAACUGCUUUUAUACAGGAAGAAACAGUCCCUCGUGAGGGAUCUUGACGGUACUGUAAGAAUAAGGACCGGCUAACUCCGUGCCAGCAGCCGCGGUAAUACGGAGGGUCCGAGCGUUAUCCGGAAUCAUUGGGUUUAAAGGGUCCGUAGGCGGGCAGCUCAGUCAGUGGUGAAAGUCUGCAGCUCAACUGUAGAAUUGCCAUUGAUACUGGUUGUCUUGAAUUAUUAUGAAGUGGUUAGAAUAUGUAGUGUAGCGGUGAAAUGCAUAGAUAUUACAUAGAAUACCGAUUGCGGAGGCAGAUCACUAAUAAUAUAUUGACGCUGAGGGACGAAAGCGUGGGGAGCGAACAGGAUUAGAUACCCUGGUAGUCCACGCCGA